CAUUUCACUGCCUUUCUUUUUAUUUUAUGAGUUUGCUCCUAGACAAAGACUUGUCUAUCUUUCUGCACGUCAGUGAGAUCUUACUACAAGGAGGUACCCCACCAGUGACAAAGUGUUGAAGCCCAUGACUUAAGAUACGCAGCUUUUGUUCUCUCCAGACAUCUUUGUUACAGACCUAGAUGUCUAUAGGGACCAGGUAGGAAAUAAGAAAUAAAGAGUGGGCUGGUCAUUUUCUCUUCAUGUUUCCAGGAUAUGACUAUCUUUUUAAUAAUAUUUUUCAUUUAUUCUUUGAAAUUUCAUACAUGUAUAUGGUGUAUCUUGAUUAUUUCCAAGCCAGACCUUCCUUUCCUCUCCCUCAGACCCUGAAACUCAGGACUUCCUUGUGUUAAAUUUCCCUAUGUGUGAUAAAUGUCGGCACAAGUGGUUCUCCAUCAUCUUCCUACACUGUCACAUAAGAAAUGUGAAUAUGUCAUAUGAUGCCUGAUGAGUUGUGUAGACUUGAGGACCAAUGUUGCUUUUGUAUACUGCUGUGCGUAUGAACGUGGCUCUUUCUACGUUUUGGUUUUAGUCUUCAGGUUCAUGUCCUGAUUUGACACUGGAAAGAUACCCAGUUCUCCAGUUUUGUUUGUCGUAAUUUCUAGUCUUAUUGUCUGUCUUAGUUACGAGUCUUAGCUGAGGGCUUGGAAGGGGGUUAUUUUGGCUCAGGGUUCCCAGAGGUUUGUGGCCAGGAAGAAGUGGCAGCAUGCACAGCAGGUGGCUGGUCAUGAUGUGUCUAGUCAGAAAGCAGCAAGAGAUGGGUUCUAGUCCCCAACUCACUCUCUCCUUUGUAUUUAUAAGAGCGUUCAGUAGCAUCCAGGCUGUGUUACCAGCAAACACAACACCUCAGCAAGCUGUUGGUCAACUUUCCUAGGAUUUGCCUAGGUAGAAUGAAUUCUCAGCUAAUGUUAAGCUAAGUCUAGGAUUAAACUUUGUGGCUCCUGAACUUUUAGGAGGUAACAUAUUGCCUCUAGUAUCAAACUUGAUUAAACUUGUUAACUUUAAUGCCAUUUGAUUCUGUUGGGGUAGAAGAAUUUAUUGACUACUCUAGAGAAAGGAUCUUUUUUCCCCCAGCUGUCUAAAGAGUAGAACGUUUAUUAAAGUUUUCUUGGUGAGCUGAAAAGGAGAGACAUGCUUCUUUUCCUAGGCAGAAACAGGUCUGGGGCAUAAUUAACAUGUGGUAAAAAUUGGAUAAUUGAAUAAUAUUGACUUCUUGGGGAUUCAGCCUUUUAUCUACUGCUGUGUGAUUAGUUUUUUCCAACCUGCAGCUUGCUUGAGCAGGGAGUCUACAGAGGAUUAGGAAGGAAAAACUUGUUAGCAAAGUACUGAAGGCUUUUGAUUUAAUUUUGUACUGCCCAUGGUUAUCUGGUUUCCCUAAGCAACCUCCAGUUUUCAGCCACUUUAUAAUCAUGAUGUGAUAAGAUAAACUGAUGCCUUCAUGAGGAAGUAACUCAAAAGAAGAGACAGAAAGGUCACUAAAAAGUAGAGAGGAGCCAGGUGUUGUGGUGCACACAUCUAGUCCCAACACUUUGGAGGCAGUGCAGGUAGAUCUCUUGAGUUCAAGGCCAGCAUAGUCUGCAUGGUGAGUUCCAGGCCAGCUAGGGUUACACAAUGAGAACCUGUCUCAAAACAAC
RNAcentral lists this long non-coding RNA (1670 nucleotides) under Mus musculus (house mouse). Its description in RNAcentral is "long non-coding RNA chr11:23697125-23698795". The record is from RNAcentral. Lineage: Eukaryota; Metazoa; Chordata; Mammalia; Rodentia; Muridae.